UUGAUCCUGGCUCAGGAUGAACGCUAGCGGCAGGCUUAACACAUGCAAGUCGAGGGGCAGCACGGGUAGCAAUACCUGGUGGCGACCGGCGGAAGGGUGCGUAACGCGUGAGCAACCUGCCCGUAUCUGGGACAUAACCGGUGGAAACGCCGCCUAAUUUCCCAUAACAACAGAGGCCGCAUGACCUUUGCUUGAAAGCUUCGGCGGAUACGGAUGGGCUCGCGAGACAUUAGCUUGUUGGUGAGGUAACGGCCCACCAAGGCUACGAUGUCUAGGGGUUCUGAGAGGAAGGUCCCCCACAUUGGAACUGAGACACGGUCCAAACUCCUACGGGAGGCAGCAGUGAGGAAUAUUGGUCAAUGGACGGAAGUCUGAACCAGCCAUGCCGCGUGCAGGAAUAAGGCCCUAUGGGUCGUAAACUGCUUUUGUGGUGGAGCAAUAAGGCGUACGUGUACGUCGAUGAGAGUACAUCACGAAUAAGCAUCGGCUAACUCCGUGCCAGCAGCCGCGGUAAUACGGAGGAUGCAAGCGUUAUCCGGAUUUAUUGGGUUUAAAGGGUGCGUAGGCUGUGCGGCAAGUCAGGGGUGAAAGCCCGCCGCCCAACGGCGGAACUGCCUUUGAUACUGUCGCGCUGGAAUACGGAUGCCGUGGGAGGAAUGAGUAGUGUAGCGGUGAAAUGCAUAGAUAUUACUCAGAACACCGAUUGCGAAGGCAUCUCACGAAUCCGUCAUUGACGCUGAGGCACGAAAGCGUGGGGAUCAAACAGGAUUAGAUACCCUGGUAGUCCACGCAGUAAACGAUGAUGACUAACCGUCGGCGAUACACAGUCGGUGGCCAAAGCGAAAGCGAUAA
RNAcentral lists this ribosomal RNA (852 nucleotides) under uncultured bacterium. RNAcentral's name for it is "bacterial SSU rRNA". It matches the Rfam family "Bacterial small subunit ribosomal RNA", at positions 13 to 863 of the family's 1533-position model. The record is from RNAcentral.